This 789-nucleotide ribosomal RNA is filed under the name Shigella sonnei. RNAcentral's name for it is "partial 23S ribosomal RNA". It matches the Rfam family "Bacterial large subunit ribosomal RNA", at positions 400 to 1190 of the family's 2925-position model. Lineage: Bacteria; Pseudomonadati; Pseudomonadota; Gammaproteobacteria; Enterobacterales; Enterobacteriaceae. The record is from RNAcentral.
UGAGCUUGAUGAGUAGGGCGGGACACGUGGUAUCCUGUCUGAAUAUGGGGGGACCAUCCUCCAAGGCUAAAUACUCCUGACUGACCGAUAGUGAACCAGUACCGUGAGGGAAAGGCGAAAAGAACCCCGGCGAGGGGAGUGAAAAAGAACCUGAAACCGUGUACGUACAAGCAGUGGGAGCACGCUUAGGCGUGUGACUGCGUACCUUUUGUAUAAUGGGUCAGCGACUUAUAUUCUGUAGCAAGGUUAACCGAAUAGGGGAGCCGAAGGGAAACCGAGUCUUAACUGGGCGUUAAGUUGCAGGGUAUAGACCCGAAACCCGGUGAUCUAGCCAUGGGCAGGUUGAAGGUUGGGUAACACUAACUGGAGGACCGAACCGACUAAUGUUGAAAAAUUAGCGGAUGACUUGUGGCUGGGGGUGAAAGGCCAAUCAAACCGGGAGAUAGCUGGUUCUCCCCGAAAGCUAUUUAGGUAGCGCCUCGUGAAUUCAUCUCCGGGGGUAGAGCACUGUUUCGGCAAGGGGGUCAUCCCGACUUACCAACCCGAUGCAAACUGCGAAUACCGGAGAAUGUUAUCACGGGAGACACACGGCGGGUGCUAACGUCCGUCGUGAAGAGGGAAACAACCCAGACCGCCAGCUAAGGUCCCAAAGUCAUGGUUAAGUGGGAAACGAUGUGGGAAGGCCCAGACAGCCAGGAUGUUGGCUUAGAAGCAGCCAUCAUUUAAAGAAAGCGUAAUAGCUCACUGGUCGAGUCGGCCUGCGCGGAAGAUGUAACGGGGCUAAACCAU